AAAAAAAAAAAAAAAAAAAAGAAGAAAACAUUGAACUUUUAAUUUUUCAUCUUCAUUCCCAGACGUAGGUAUGUUGAUGUUGCAUUACGGCGUGUAUUGUGCUAAAAUCAUCAUUAUAAUGCAUAAUAAAUGAUGAGAUGUGCGUGAGUAAUGUUUAAUAAGUGAUUGUUGUAAGCUGCUUACGAGAUAACUUAAAUUUCUAUAAACGCGUGCAUGUUUGUAAAUAAACAAAACUUUUUGACCUAAAAACAUCCAUUUUGGAUUUUAUGGAUUUUGUCAAAUACGAUGUGGUUUUAUGAUAUAAACACACUGACCACAAAAAACCCCAUAGCAUCGUAUUAUAAACAAUCGUAUGUGAAGACGGGUAAAGAAAUCACUUUGCAUAGAUUUUAAGCGACUAAACAGUGAAGUCUCUGAAUAACGUGCGAAGCGCCACGCAAUACAAUAUGUACAUCUUUGAUAUUGUAGAACUUUUAUUUUCCGUAUCUUCACAUUGAGUCGCCGGCGUUUUCUUAACAAAGUACCGUAAGUCAGCAAAA
Molecule: long non-coding RNA, 539 nt
Organism: Glossina fuscipes
Lineage: Eukaryota; Metazoa; Arthropoda; Insecta; Diptera; Glossinidae
Exons: 3
Source: RefSeq, a predicted model, not a curated record